Non-coding RNA from Loxodonta africana (African savanna elephant), 292 nucleotides. NCBI's taxonomy places the organism in Eukaryota, Metazoa, Chordata, Mammalia, Proboscidea, Elephantidae. The record is from Rfam.
UGCUUGCCCUUUUCCUGUGUAGGUGAAGGUGCGUGUCCCUGGGGAAGCUGCUGUUCUAGCACUGUUUUUAGGGAGCUGCAGUAGCGCAGGCCUCGCUUCUCAGGAAAGGUGAGGACACAAACUCAGUGAGGCAGAUCAGCGAGGCAGCCAAGUGCCAGGGCUUCUGUGACGCAGGCCCAGCUCUGCACUUUUCAGGUUAUGGGAUAUGAUGAAAAUGUUCCAGUGUUCUUCUCGAUAUCUUUGUUGUCUUGGUAAUUUUAAUAUUUUUAACCUCAUUUGAUCAUGUUUUGUG